RNAcentral lists this long non-coding RNA (1431 nucleotides) under Nothobranchius furzeri (turquoise killifish). RNAcentral describes it as "lncRNA (ENSNFUG00015002020.1)". The record is from RNAcentral. Lineage: Eukaryota; Metazoa; Chordata; Actinopteri; Cyprinodontiformes; Nothobranchiidae.
AAUCUAGAGGACACGCAGAUGGAGAGAUUCUAAAACACUUUUUGGGGGGAAUUUAUUAUAUAUAUAUUUUUUGGUUGUAUUCUUUUGUUUACUUCUUUUUGUUGCGUACCAACACAACAGCCACACAGAUGAUGUUAUCUUUUUCACCUGCGUAGAUGAUUUGUGUGGGACAGCUCUUGUCGUGAGAUGAGAAGGCAGAGAUGAACACUAUGUUACUGUGAUUGUUUUAAGGGGAAAAAAGUGCAUCUUUUACAGCCAAUUUUAUCCGUUAAGCUAGCUGAUAGUAUCGCCACAAAGUGUGCACGCACACACGCUGCUACGAGCAACUGUGUGUCGGUGUGAAAAGGUUUUCUGAUGUGCUGCGUGUGAGCGUGGACCGGGUGAGAUUCAAAUGAUGGUGUGUAUGAGGGUGUGUGUGUGUGUGUGUGUGUGUGUGUGUGUGUGUGUGUGUGCACUAGUUGUGUUGUUUGUGUUUUACUUUUAUUUGGGUUGUUGGUUCAUUGCGGGAAAUUAAAAAAAUGUUUUGUAAGUAGGUUAGGCAAUUCUAUAAGCUAUUGCUUCUGCCUAAACCUGUUCAGUCAUGAUAUACCAAAUAGACACCAUAUAAAAAAACAAGGCAUAUGUUAGUGAGAAAUGGUAUUUGUAUCUAAUUGUAUGACAUGUUAAUGUACAUUAUCUUAAGAUAACUGACUGAAUAAAUUGAUCAUUCAUUCAUUCAAUAAUGCUAAAUUAACUUAGAGAACAUAGAUUAAAAUUACCUAUCAUUAAUGUGCAACUACUUCAACUUAAAGGUGCAGUAUGUAAGAAUAUAGUGAGAAUUUACAGAGAGAAAAUCCCAAAAGUCUAAUGUUUGGAAGGAAGGUUGUACUGAAACAUAUUUCACAUCCAGCUGGCUGCGGGAAUUGUCAGUUUUUUUCUCAUUUCAAAACAAGGGAAGGAGGGACGUAACUACUGUUUACCAUCAGUGAGUGUGAGGUUGCCAGGUCUCCUACAAGCUAAUGCUGCAGCGCCAACAAUUGUAAUUUGACGACGGCCAGCAAAUAGCUGCAGAGUUGUUGUGCAGAGUUGUGGGUGCUCUUAAUUCAGAUGUAUUACUGACAUAGCUUCCAUUUCCUACGCUCCCGGUGAUUACAUUUGAGCGCAAACAGGAGUAUAAACGGUUCACAAAGACGUAAUCUUGCUUUAUAUGUUCGUACCUUGGAGAACGUGUCUUUGUAACUAUCCAUGUUUGGGCAUGUGUUUAAGUUACUAAGCUGAUCAAAUGUAAGCAGUGUACACAUGGCUAAACAAGGCUAAUUGCUAAGCACACCACUAAGACGUGUACACUAGUACUAUGUUUUUUCUGCUUCUGUAUAUUGUAGUUACGGUGAUAAAACUUUUAUAAAGAUCUUCUUUUAAGAAAAUCAAGCCUUGGGUGAAGAUUCUUUGCUG